UACGGGGGGAGCAAGCGUUGUUCGGAUUUACUGGGCGUAAAGGGCGCGUAGGCGGCCAGCACAAGUCAGUUGUGAAAUCUCCGAGCUUAACUCGGAAAGGUCAACUGAUACUGUGCGGCUAGAGUGCGGAAGGGGCAACUGGAAUUCUUGGUGUAGCGGUGAAAUGCGUAGAUAUCAAGAGGAACACCAGUGGCGAAGGCGGCUCACUGGCCCGAUACUGACGCUGAGGUGCGAAAGCGUGGGGAGCAAACAGG
This 254-nucleotide ribosomal RNA is filed under the name uncultured bacterium. RNAcentral's name for it is "partial 16S ribosomal RNA". It matches the Rfam family "Bacterial small subunit ribosomal RNA", at positions 524 to 776 of the family's 1533-position model. The record is from RNAcentral.